UGUCAAGCUACCAAGAGUGCAGGGUGGAUGUCUUGGCGCCAACCGGCGAUGAAGGACGUGGAAGGCUGCGAUAAGCCCGGGGGAGCCGUCUAACAGGCUUAGAUCCCGGGAUCUCCGAAUGGGGCAACCCGAUGCCGCGGAAGCGGCAUCAUCCCCGUUUGAAAUCCGCCUACGGGCGGGGAUAGGGCGGGGAGGCAAACCGGGCGAAGUGAAACAUCUCAGUAGCCCGAGGAAAAGAAAGCAACCGCGACUCCCUUAGUAGCGGCGAGCGAAAGGGGAACAGCCCAAACCGUCCGCACCUUCGGGCGCGGGCGGGGUUGAGGGGCCAUCGCUACGUGUCCGCGUAGCCCUACGUGAACGGGACUGGAAAGCCCGGCCACAGAAGGUGAGAGCCCUGUAGCGGAAAGGGCGAAACGGACGCAGAUGGUACCCCGAGUAGCGUCGGACACGUGGAACCCGGCGUGAAACCGGGAGGACCACCUCCCAAGGCUAAGUACGCGUUGGCGACCGAUAGCGCAGAAGUAGCGUGAGCGAUCGAUGAAAAGAAUCCCUUCGAGGGAAGUGAAACAGAACCUGAAACCCUGUACUUACAAGCAGUCGGAGCACUGUGGAAGCGGCGAAUGCGGCUUCCCGUGUGACGGCGUGCCUUUUGGAGAAUGAGCCGGCGAGUUAAGCUGCGUCGCGCAGGUUAAGUGCCUCAGGCACGUAGCCGCAGGGAAACCGAGUGUUAACAGCGCGACCCUCGUGGCGCGGCUUAGACGCGAAGCCGGGUGAUCUAUCCAUGGCCAGGAUGAAGCGACCGUAAAAGGUCGUGGAGGUCCGAACGCACCGAUGAUGCAAAAUCGGGCGAUGAGCUGUGGAUAGGAGUGAAAGUCUAAUCAAACCCGGGGAUAUCUCGUUCUCUCCGAAAUAGCUUUAGGGCUAGCCUCCUGUUGUAGGCGACGGGGGUAGAGCACUGAAUCGAUUCGGGGGCCCACCAGGUUACCCAUUCGAAUCAAACUCCGAAUACCGUCGCCCGGAAGCAGGGGAGUCAGACUGCGGGGGAUAAGCUCCGUGGUCAAAAGGGAAACAGCCCAGACCGUCAGCUAAGGCCCCUAAAGUGCGCUAAGUGCAUCGAAAGGAAGUGGAGAAGCUAAGACAGCCAGGAUGUUGGCUUAGAAGGAGCCAUCAUUUGAAAAGUGGGUAACUCCUUACUGGUCGAGCCUCUCUGCGCCGAAAAUGAACGGGGCUCAAGCGCACUGCCGACGCUACGGGCCUUGUCCCGCCUUGGCGGGACGGGGCGGUAGGAGAGCGCUGUAUGCAGGGGCGAAGGCGUACCGAAAGGAGCGCUGGACCGCAUACAGGUGAGAAUGCCGGCAUGAGUAGCGUGAAAGGGAGUGAGAAUCUCCCUCGCCGAAAACCCAAGGUUUCCUGGGCAAGGUAAUUCCUCCCAGGGUUAGUCGGGACCUAAGGCGAGGUCGAAAGGCGUAGCCGAUGGACAGCAGGUUAAUAUUCCUGCACCGCUGGUAGCCGCGACAGCUGUCUGGCCGACGCGAUCAGGCGGAGCCGCACGAUCAAACAGACAUGGUCAGAAGGGCCGUAGGCCCGCAUGUGGCCGAGCCGAUCGCCGAGAAAAACGCCAGCCAGGGGCUACUUGCGCCCGUACCUAAACCAACACUGGUGGGUGAGGAGAGAAUCCUCAGGCGCUCGAGAGAACCGCCGUUAAGGAACUCGGCAAAUUGGGUCCGUAACUUCGGGAAAUGGACCGCCUUCGUACGGCCGCUUUUCGGAGUGGCCGUCUCGGAGGUCGCAGUGAAGAGGCCCGGGCGACUGUUUACUAAAAACACAGGUCUGUGCAAAGGCGCAAGCCCAAGUAUACAGACUGACGCGUGCUCGAUGCCAUAAAGUCAAGGGAGGGGGUUAUCCCGCUUCGGCGGGAGAAGCUCUCAACCUAAGCUAUGGUGAAUGGCGGCUCUAACUAUGAGAGUCCUAAGGUAGCGAAGUUCCUUGUCACCUAACUGGUGACGUGCAUGAAUCGCGUAACGACCUGGGCACUGUCUCAACGGCGGACUCGGCGAAAUUGUGAUCGUGGUGCAGACGCCACGCACCCGCGGCGGGACGGAAAGACCCCGUGGACCUUUACUGCAGCAUGGCAUUGGGUUCUGGCAGUGCAUGUGUAGCAUAGGUGGGAGGCUGUGAAGUCCCUUCGCCAGGAGGGGCGGAGCCGUCAGUGGAAUACCACCCUUGCUCUGUUAGGUCUCUAACCCCGACCCGUGAAACCGGGCGGAGGACAGUGCUUUGUGGGCAGUUUGACUGGGGAGGUCUCCUGCCAAAAAGUAACGGAGGAGCCCAAAGGCUCCCUCAGUGCGGUCGGCAAUCGCACGUUGAGUGUAAAGGCAUAAGGGAGCUUAACUGCGAGACGUCUCAGUCGAGCAGAUGUGAAAGCAGGGCUUAGUGAUCCAGCGGUUCUGUGUGGAAGGGCCGUUGCUCAACAGAUAAAAGGUACCCCGGGGAUAACAGGCUCAUCUCCCCCAAGCGACCAUAGCGACGGGGAGGUUUGGCACCUCGAUGUCGGCCCAUCGCAUCCUGGGGCUGAAGAAGGUCCCAAGGGUUCCGGAGUUCACGGAUUAAAGCGGUACGCGAGCUGUUGUCCUGCUAAGGGCAUCGCUGGGUAGCUAUGUUCGCAAAGGAUAACCGCUGAAAGCAUCUAAGCGGGAAGCCGUCUCCAAGAUUAGCUAUCCGGUCCCCUUCGAGGGAAUAAGGCACCUCUAAGACCAAGAGGUUGAUAGGCCGGAGGUGUAAGUGCGCAUACAUAAAGGCACUUAGCUGACCGGUACUAAUCCGCCGAAAGGCUGACACA
Non-coding RNA from Planctomycetes bacterium SM23_32, 2839 nucleotides. The record is from Rfam. Lineage: Bacteria; Pseudomonadati; Planctomycetota.